UCUCCGUUGGUGAACCAGCGGAGGGAUCAUUACAGGAUCGAAAGACUCCUAUAACCCCUGUGAACUUACUACAAAUACGUUGCUUCGGCGGGUGCCCCGGGUCUCCCGGGGCGUUCAGCCCGCCGACAGCCUUCAAAUUCUGUUUCUUUGCGUUGGCAUCUCGAGUAUACAAAAAUAAGUUAAAACUUUCAACAACGGAUCUCUUGGUUCUG
RNAcentral lists this unclassified non-coding RNA (212 nucleotides) under plant metagenome. Its description in RNAcentral is "partial contains small subunit ribosomal RNA, internal transcribed spacer 1, and 5.8S ribosomal RNA". The record is from RNAcentral.